UAAAACAUCGAAUAUUGAAAUACGGAAAUCAUCCUGCACAUCCCUACACCCAUCCUGAAACACUCCCUAACGCACCGUUGACAUCGACUGUCAACGCGACAGUUCACUACCACUGCAUCACUGAUCGUCGACCACCACCACCAUCACGGACGAACGGUAAAAACUACCGGACAACGAGUCGACGAGCUCUCUUGGAGGGACCCCAUUAAGUGACCGCCAAUAACAAAAAAACCGCGUGUGCUCAGAAAGUGCUUUGCGGACGCUGACUAGAAGGUUCCGUGGUGCCACCGGGCGUGAUAAGUGGCAGAAGCAAGUAAGCUAAUCAGCCGGAGUGCCACGUCAUCGCCAGGCCCGGCCGAAGUUAGUGGAAAAAAACGAUUGGUGGGCAUUUCAGUCCCGGAAAGCAUUCAUUCGUCGGAAAACGUGUGCUCGUCAUUAAGUGAACCAUAUUGGAUCGGUUGCCACCGCCGAGAGAAAGCUUGCAGGAGUGUCAUCGGAGAAGGGUAGGAGUAAAACCUCGUGUUUCGGGAAGUGCCACGCCAUUAGUCGCCGGAUUUCAAGAAAAACCACCGUUCGCAGCGCCGGCGUGCCCUAGGAUUUGGUUAACCAACCCACCGAAGAUCCGGGCACGAUGAAGUGUCGAAGCACCAUACCACCCCCGGGGAAAAUCCUGCAAGUCCGGGCAGCGUCAACAAGAAGAGGUUAACGGUAUGUGAACCAUUCCUUUAUACACCUUUCCUACGAAACAGAACAUGACUCAAUUGAGAUAAUAAUUUAAAUAUAAAAUGUAAAUUCAACUAA
Long non-coding RNA from Armigeres subalbatus, 801 nucleotides. RefSeq lists it as uncharacterized. The transcript is spliced from 2 exons. The record is from RefSeq and is a predicted model, not a curated record. NCBI's taxonomy places the organism in Eukaryota, Metazoa, Arthropoda, Insecta, Diptera, Culicidae.